CAUCGAGGAAGAGAGGUCGCUUCUUUACGGUUCUGUCCCCUAGGCCCCUUCCUUCCAUAAGCCUACUCAGGACUCCACUGGGCUGCUGACUACUCACCCUCCCCCCAGGUCAACUCCUUACCCGUACACAGUUAUGUCCACCCAGGGUCUGCUUGGACACCUGUGCCUGAUGUUCACCAGGGGCCAGAUGUCGUCCUCAGGCCUGAUGUCCACCUAGGGCCUGAUGUCUGCCUUGGCCUAUGUCCCUCUUGGGGCCUUGUGUUCACCUGGGGACUGUAUCCAGCUGAGGCCUGAUGGCCUACUGGGUCUUGUUGUUCACCUAAGGCCUUGUGUCCACCUGGGGACUGGUGAUCACCUGGGGCCUGGGUGUCCACCUGAGGCCAGAUGUGCACCUAAGGCCUGAGUUUUCACCUGGGCCUGAUGAUCACCUGGGGACUGGGUGUGUGCCUUGGGUCUUUUCCCUUUUCCUGAACAGGGCUUGCAGUUUCCAAACCAGACACAAUCUCCCAGUUGGAGAAAGAAAAAGGAUCCUAGAUGAUAGUGAGACAAAUUUCAGGAAACUCCAUCCAAAUAAGUAAAUGAGAAUGAGGACAGGAUUCAUUGCAUGGUGGCAUGUGCCUGCAGUCCCAGCUACUCAGGAGGCUGAGGUGGGAGGAUCGCUUGAACUCAGGAGUUGAAGGCUGCAGUGGGUGAGGAUCACAACACUGAAUUCCAGCUUAGGUGACAGAAUGAGACCCUGUCUCUCUAAAAAACAAGCAAGCAAACAAACCAAAAACCACAAACAAACCAGAUCCCUCUUAGCAGAAUACUUCCAUGAGGUAAUAAAAGAAAGAAGAAAGUGAAACGAACAAACAAUUUUACUCAAGAAACUAGUGAGAAAUCAAAGAAAUGUCCAAGAAGUAGGAUACAAGAAUUAAUCAAAACAGAUUAACAGUGGAAUAAAUAAAUGAAUCCAACUGGUUCUUUGUCAUGGAAUGUGGAAAGACAUACUCUAUUCUUCUGGAUAGGAAGAUGAAAUAUCAUAAUCAUAUCAAUGCAAGUUUUAUGCAUGCUCAAACAUGUAUAAACUAAGAAAAAGUCUGAAAGGACAGACAGCAAAAUGUUUGCAUUUUUUCCUCCAAGUGGUAAGA
This is a long non-coding RNA of Pan troglodytes (chimpanzee), 1130 nucleotides long. RefSeq lists it as uncharacterized. NCBI's taxonomy places the organism in Eukaryota, Metazoa, Chordata, Mammalia, Primates, Hominidae. The record is from RefSeq and is a predicted model, not a curated record. The transcript has 3 exons.